RNAcentral lists this ribosomal RNA (278 nucleotides) under uncultured bacterium. Its description in RNAcentral is "partial 16S ribosomal RNA". It matches the Rfam family "Bacterial small subunit ribosomal RNA", at positions 783 to 1060 of the family's 1533-position model. The record is from RNAcentral.
UUGCCCAGUAGUCCACGCCGUAAACGAUGAGUACUAGGUGUAGGGGGUAUCGACUCCCUCUGUGCCGCAGUUAACACAAUAAGUACUCCGCCUGGGAAGUACGAUCGCAAGAUUAAAACUCAAAGGAAUUGACGGGGGCCCGCACAAGCAGCGGAGCAUGUGGUUUAAUUCGAAGCAACGCGAAGAACCUUACCUGGACUUGACAUCCCCUGCAUAGCCAAGAGAUUGGUGAAGCCCUUCGGGGCAGGGAGACAGGUGGUGCACGGCCGUCGCCAGCU